AGGAUGAACGCUGGCGGUCUGCUUAACACAUGCAAGUCGAACGGAGUAGCAAUACUUAGUGGCGGACGGGUGAGUAACGCGUGAGAAUCUACCUUCAGGACGGAGACAACAGUUGGAAACGACUGCUAACCCCCGAUGUACUGAAAAGGCAAAUAUUUAUAGCCUGAAGAAGAGCUCGCGUCCGAUUAGCUAGUUGGAGAGGUAAAAGCUCACCAAGGCGACGAUCGGUAGCUGGUCUGAGAGGACGAUCAGCCACACUGGGACUGAGACACGGCCCAGACUCCUACGGGAGGCAGCAGUGGGAAUUUUCCGCAAUGGGCGAAAGCCUGACGGAGCAAGACCGCGUGGGGGAAGAAGGCUCUUGGGUUGUAAACCCCUUUUCUCGUGGGAAGAACACAAUGACGGUACCAGAGGAAUCAGCAUCGGCUAACUCCGCGCCAGCAGCCGC
RNAcentral lists this ribosomal RNA (448 nucleotides) under uncultured bacterium. Its description in RNAcentral is "SSU rRNA". It matches the Rfam family "Bacterial small subunit ribosomal RNA", at positions 26 to 518 of the family's 1533-position model. The record is from RNAcentral.